Molecule: non-coding RNA, 21 nt
Filed under: Arabidopsis thaliana (thale cress)
Lineage: Eukaryota; Viridiplantae; Streptophyta; Magnoliopsida; Brassicales; Brassicaceae
Source: RNAcentral
UGUGAUUUGGGAGCAUUUGUU